This 21-nucleotide non-coding RNA is filed under the name Rattus norvegicus (Norway rat). Lineage: Eukaryota; Metazoa; Chordata; Mammalia; Rodentia; Muridae. The record is from RNAcentral.
CUUUGCCUGCGAUGGAUAUUU